UAAUAAUUAGUGUAAAGGCACAUUUCAAUUUGAAUGAAAGAGAAGUAGUGUAAUUCUACUACUAUUAA
RNAcentral lists this transfer RNA (68 nucleotides) under Smilium sinense. RNAcentral describes it as "tRNA-Gln". The record is from RNAcentral. Lineage: Eukaryota; Metazoa; Arthropoda; Thecostraca; Calanticomorpha; Calanticidae.